This 253-nucleotide ribosomal RNA is filed under the name uncultured bacterium. RNAcentral describes it as "partial 16S ribosomal RNA". It matches the Rfam family "Bacterial small subunit ribosomal RNA", at positions 524 to 776 of the family's 1533-position model. The record is from RNAcentral.
UACGUAGGGGGCAAGCGUUAUCCGGAUUUACUGGGUGUAAAGGGAGCGCAGACGGCAGUGCAAGUCUGGAGUGAAAGCCCGGGGCCCAACCCCGGGACUGCUCUGGAAACUGUACGGCUAGAGUACGGGAGGGGCAGGCGGAAUUCCUAGUGUAGCGGUGAAAUGCGUAGAUAUCAGGAGGAACACCGGUGGCGAAGGCGGCCUGCUGGACUGCAACUGACGUUGAGGCCCGAAAGCGUGGGGAGCAAACAGG